This is a long non-coding RNA of Ziziphus jujuba (common jujube), 486 nucleotides long. RefSeq lists it as uncharacterized. The record is from RefSeq and is a predicted model, not a curated record. The transcript has 3 exons. NCBI's taxonomy places the organism in Eukaryota, Viridiplantae, Streptophyta, Magnoliopsida, Rosales, Rhamnaceae.
AAACCAGGUGAAUAUUUUUAUUGAAUUAAAAAAAAAAAAGGAGAAAGGUUUUUUGUCCAUUUAAUUCUCUAAAAUGUAAAAUUUAGAAAAUAUAUUUAAAGAACUCUUAACAUUGACUAGUCUGAGUCAAUAUUUUAUUGGAUUACCGGGUUUUAGACAAGAGCAUGAAAAAGUAAUGAAUUAACUGCCUUCUAUGGCAGUCUUUAACUCUUUUUAAGCCAGCAAAAGCUCCGCUACUCACUCUUUUAAAUAGAUCACAGCAACUGGAAUCAGAUGGUGCCAUUCUCAUCUUGUUGCUGUAUCGAUUGAGAUGAGAGGAGCUUCUCCGAGUCCCGUGGAGCCCAGACUCCGUUUGUCUGCUUCAGCUAAAGCUUGGGACUUGGGAGGGCGACGAGUGGUGGCGAAUGGCGAUCGGCGAGAGGGCGACGAGUGGACUGGGUCCAGUGCCGGCGGUUGUUCAAGUGGUGGCGUUGCUUGGGAGUUCAA